This 253-nucleotide ribosomal RNA is filed under the name uncultured bacterium. RNAcentral's name for it is "partial 16S ribosomal RNA". It matches the Rfam family "Bacterial small subunit ribosomal RNA", at positions 524 to 776 of the family's 1533-position model. The record is from RNAcentral.
UACGGGGGGGGCAAGCGUUGUUCGGAAUUACUGGGCGUAAAGGGCGCGUAGGCGGUUUGCUAAGUUGGAUGUGAAAACUCUGGGCUUAACCCAGAGCCUGCAUCCAAAACUGGCAAACUUGAGUACUGGAGGGGAAAGCGGAAUUCCUGGUGUAGCGGUGAAAUGCGUAGAUAUCAGGAGGAACACCGGUGGCGAAGGCGGCUUUCUGGACAGUAACUGACGCUGAGGCGCGAAAGCGUGGGGAGCGAACGGG